GCAUAGCCAUUCUCACUUCUCCAUGUCACAACAUUAUAAGCUUCACAUAGAGAAUCAGAUUCAAGAGCCCGUCGAUCUUUUGAAUAGCUGGAAGCGGUAGAAUGCUUUUUGUUUAUUGUUUUGUAUUUUCGUUGCUUGAAGCAGAGAAUCCCAAGCAAACGGACAACAAGCCAAAACCUAAGAAACGACAGUGCCAAGGAGGUGAAUGGUUCCAUUACUCGUGCGUUGGGCUGACACCAGAGACAAGAUUCAAGGGGAAGUGGUAUUGUCCAACCUGCAGGCAACUUCCACAGUGACAAAAAUGGCAUGCAUACACUUACAGUACAUGUGAUGGUGGAGGCAUGGAGGGAUGAUCGUUUGUUUUGCCUUGAUUAGGUCAUUCUAGAGUUUAAGAUUAUGCAUCCGUCUCUUUCUUCCCAAAAUAAAGAGAAGAAAGAACCCUUGAGCGGAAGAACAGUCGAAUUUUGUAAAAUGCUUGGAGCUACUCCUCCUCCUUCCGUGGAUGUGAAUUUAGCAAGGACAGUUUAUAGUUGGCAGUGUAAUGGAAUGGAAGAAACACCAAUGAGUCCUGGAAGAACUUUGGCUGUCUUCUUAUCCACCGUUACUUCAUUCAUGUUUUUUUAUCAAAUUGGACUUUGCGUUCGAUCAUCAUGUGUCUUCUGUUUUCUUCGGCUCAAGAAUGAUGGUCUUGUGUAUUC
Eucalyptus grandis is the source of this 698-nucleotide long non-coding RNA. RefSeq lists it as uncharacterized. The record is from RefSeq and is a predicted model, not a curated record. The transcript is spliced from 2 exons. NCBI's taxonomy places the organism in Eukaryota, Viridiplantae, Streptophyta, Magnoliopsida, Myrtales, Myrtaceae.